Oryzias melastigma (Indian medaka) is the source of this 1405-nucleotide long non-coding RNA. RefSeq lists it as uncharacterized. The record is from RefSeq and is a predicted model, not a curated record. Lineage: Eukaryota; Metazoa; Chordata; Actinopteri; Beloniformes; Adrianichthyidae. The transcript is spliced from 3 exons.
AUGACCACUUAUAGAUGACAUAAGCAAAAAUCUAUACCCUUUAAAAUUGAAUUAAACCAUUGCUUAUGUGACUAAAUCCUGCAUGUUGUGCCUGUAGGGAGCAUCAUUUCAUGAGUCUUACUCACUCAUUCACGACUUCAGGACAGAGAUGACGAAGCUAAUGUAAUGCCAGGAAACAAGAGGUACCCUGCUGCAUGUGGCUAAAGAGGCAUGACCCAACAGUUAUAAAACACGCUUUCAGUUACUGGUCAAAAACAAUAUCCCAGAACAGCAGGGUGAAAACAAAGUGGGGAAACUUUCAAAAACACUCCUCACAGUGUGGGGGCUUUGUCUUUGAAAACGCACCGCAGGACACUCUCAUUAGAGAAUGUCGUUUCAUUAAGAUCAUCCCACACUACUGAGCCCGCUGCAUCACAAUGACACAGGAGUGUCCCUCUCGACAAGGAAAUCUCCUCUUAGCAACAACUCGCUGGGGGAGGGGAAGGCAGAAAAAGGGGCUAGUGCGGGGGCAAACAAAAGAGAACCCGAUUACUGCUGGUCACGGCUCAUCCGCAAGCCACCACAGGGAAAUCCAUCACCUUUAGAUCAAACGGGAACUUGUGCACACGGUAGAACCCACCGAAAGCAAUACCCACCCUCCUAACCACUCUCAUCACUCUCUCUUUUUUUCUUUCUUUUUUUUAGCUUGUCACUGCUAUCUCCCCUCCUGUUUUCUGACUCACGUCAACGGCAGCAUGCAAGUUUUAGACCCGGACUGUGAAAUCCAACACAGGCGCGAAUGCUCUGUGGUCCAGAUGACCUCAAGGCUCUAACCCUCCAGAUGACACUUUGUCCAGAUGUGUUGGUGAGACUUCACAUGGGUGGACAUCAAGGAACACAUUCCUGCUUGUUUUCCAACAGACCCUGCUCUGGAAUGUUCCAAGUGGAUGGACACCUGAUACAGGUUGAAACCCAGUUGUGACCUGAAACAGAAACAGAUGUGUUGGGGGGUUUAAAUCGGGCGAAGAACCGCCAAACUCUGCUACCGCAAGGUGAAACAGUGGACGACAGCUUCAUGUUAUGGAAUGAUUGAGCACAACGACAAGACGCGAGGCAGUUGUACUGCAUCAGCAAGGUCUGUGCAGACAAAGAUUUCAACAAAGACACUCUAGAUGUUGAAGUUUCUGAAGGAGCACAAAGAAACUGGCAAAGUUGAGGAUUUAAGGCAACCAAUGAAAUAGUGCAGAAGUUGAAAGAUUAACUUAUUAUCCUUCAAAUUCAAAUGAUGGUCAGCAGUGGCAAAAAUCAGUGGGACCCGUCUACUGUCUGGAGAAGUAUGUCCAGAAGAGUCUUCAUGGAGAAGGUGGAGCCAAAAAGCCAAACUUGUGACAUGGAAACAUGAAAAUAUAAAAACCUGGGUCAGAAA